CCUACGGGGGCAGCAGUGGGGAAUAUUGGACAAUGGGCGAAAGCCUGAUCCAGCCAUGCCGCGUGUGUGAAGAAGGCCUUCGGGUUGUAAAGCACUUUCAGUGGGGAAGAAAGCCUUGGGGCUAAUACCCUCGAGGAAGGACAUCACCCACAGAAGAAGCACCGGCUAACUCCGUGCCAGCAGCCGCGGUAAUACGGAGGGUGCGAGCGUUAAUCGGAAUUACUGGGCGUAAAGCGCGCGUAGGCGGUCUGAUAAGCCGGUUGUGAAAGCCCCGGGCUCAACCUGGGAACGGCAUCCGGAACUGUCAGGCUAGAGUGCAGGAGAGGAAGGUAGAAUUCCCGGUGUAGCGGUGAAAUGCGUAGAGAUCGGGAGGAAUACCAGUGGCGAAGGCGGUCUUCUGGACUGACACUGACGCUGAGGUGCGAAAGCGUGGGUAGCAAACAGGAUUAGAUACCCGGGUAGUC
This 464-nucleotide ribosomal RNA is filed under the name Vreelandella stevensii. Its description in RNAcentral is "partial 16S ribosomal RNA". It matches the Rfam family "Bacterial small subunit ribosomal RNA", at positions 338 to 795 of the family's 1533-position model. Lineage: Bacteria; Pseudomonadati; Pseudomonadota; Gammaproteobacteria; Oceanospirillales; Halomonadaceae. The record is from RNAcentral.